GAUGAACGCUGGCGGCGUGCCUAAUACAUGCAAGUCGAGCGAACAGACGAGGAGCUUGCUCCUCUGACGUUAGCGGCGGACGGGUGAGUAACACGUGGAUAACCUACCUAUAAGACUGGGAUAACUUCGGGAAACCGGAGCUAAUACCGGAUCAUAUAUUGAACCGCAUGGUUCAAUAGUGAAAGACGGUUUUGCUGUCACUUAUAGAUGGAUCCGCGCCGCAUUAGCUAGUUGGUAAGGUAACGGCUUACCAAGGCAACGAUGCGUAGCCGACCUGAGAGGGUGAUCGGCCACACUGGAACUGAGACACGGUCCAGACUCCUACGGGAGGCAGCAGUAGGGAAUCUUCCGCAAUGGGCGAAAGCUUGACGGAGCAACGCCGCGUGAGUGAUGAAGGUCUUCGGAUCGUAAAACUCUGUUAGUAGGGAAGAACAAAUGUGUAAGUAACUAUGCACGUCUUGACGGUACCUAAUCAGAAAGCCACGGCUAACUACGUG
Molecule: ribosomal RNA, 497 nt
Filed under: uncultured bacterium
Lineage: Bacteria
Description: partial 16S ribosomal RNA
Rfam family: Bacterial small subunit ribosomal RNA
Source: RNAcentral